UUUUGUAGGCACUAACUCCACUAUGGUUCGUUUGGACAAAGCCUAUCGGGAAAAUUAAUGUCGUUUUGGGAUAAACGCCUUAAAUGAGGACUACAAGCUGGCGAGCUCUAUGCAUUGGCAUGCUGCGCAGAUCUUUUGUUGUACUACAUCUUCACUUCAAGAGGACCAGCAGCAGCACUGGUCCAAAAAAAAAGACAAGGAUGCACCAUGCAGAGUUCUACGGGGAAACAACCACUGAGUUUAGUUUUAUUUGAUACUGCAGAUCCUACAAACCAACUGUGUAAGAACACAGCCCUGCCUACCCCACACACCUCCCUUGGAUGACUACAGAGCAGUGAUGUCCAAUCCUGUUAACAUAAGGCUGUCCUUGAGGUUUCCCUUCAAUCCAGGUCUUUUGAAUGAAGUACUGUAUUUAACCAAAUUAUAUCAAAAUUGUUUUAUAUAGAAAGGAGAUAAAGGGAAACUUGCAGAAUAACAGCCCCAAGACCAAAGUUGGCCACCACCGUGUUUAGCUGACUAAGACUUACAAGCCACAUGAUACAAAAAUAAGUUUCUUUAAAUAAAAAAUAAAAAAAAGACAUUCACAUCCAAAAUGAUGAAAAUGUAUUUUUCCUGUUUAUUUACUUAAUAUUUAUAUAUUUUUUACACAAAAGAAACAGAACAAAAAAGCUAACAAGUGAGGAUUUACAAAGGGGGAGGGUGGAAGCCAUUGAACAAAUAAGGACUAGAGUACUUUUUUUAUUUUUUAUAUGUACAAGUUUAUCCAUUUAAAUACCUUUUUUUAUGCACAGUACAAAAAUCACUGACAAAACCAUAGUACAAUUUUGUCCAUCAGUAAUCAUUGCUGCAGCUUUCCUAAUAUAUUGGGGAGACAGGUGGCGGGAACGUGUAGAGGGAUUAGAAAAAUAACUGAUUCAACACAUAGGUAGGUAAGGGUGUGCCCUGGCCUCUCGUACAACGUCAUUUUGUACUCCAGAUGUCUUGCAGAAUAAGCAACAAUCUACAAAUGUUACACUUUUAAAUCAGGGGUAAAGCUAUUUUACAACAUAGAAUAAUGGGAAAUCAUUUUACAUGGUGUAAGGGUUGUGUACCUCACUGUGUUUGGGAGUAACAAGGACCGGUACACAC
Coregonus clupeaformis (lake whitefish) is the source of this 1128-nucleotide long non-coding RNA. RefSeq lists it as uncharacterized. The record is from RefSeq and is a predicted model, not a curated record. The transcript has 3 exons. Lineage: Eukaryota; Metazoa; Chordata; Actinopteri; Salmoniformes; Salmonidae.